RNAcentral lists this ribosomal RNA (253 nucleotides) under uncultured bacterium. RNAcentral's name for it is "partial 16S ribosomal RNA". It matches the Rfam family "Bacterial small subunit ribosomal RNA", at positions 1248 to 1500 of the family's 1533-position model. The record is from RNAcentral.
AGCGAGACCGUGAGGUGGAGCGAAUCCCAAAAAACGCGUCCCAGUCCGGAUUGCAGUCUGCAACUCGACUACAUGAAGCUGGAAUCGCUAGUAAUCGCGGAUCAGAAUGCCGCGGUGAAUACGUUCCCGGGUCUUGUACACACCGCCCGUCACACCAUGGGAGUUGGCAACACCCGAAGUCGGUAGUCUAACCGCAAGGAGGACGCCGCCGAAGGUGGGGUUGAUGAUUAGGGUUAAGUCGUAACAAGGUAGC